This 695-nucleotide ribosomal RNA is filed under the name uncultured bacterium. Its description in RNAcentral is "bacterial SSU rRNA". It matches the Rfam family "Bacterial small subunit ribosomal RNA", at positions 9 to 706 of the family's 1533-position model. The record is from RNAcentral.
GAGUUUGAUCCUGGCUCAGGACGAACGCUGGCGGCGUGCUUAACACAUGCAAGUCACGGGGGUCCCGGGGGCAACCUUGGGAUAACCGGCGAACGGGUGCGUAACACGUGAACAACCUGCCCUCGUGUGGGGGAUAGCCGAGCUAACGCCCGGGUAAUACCGCAUACGUUCCUCUGGAGGAGUCUCUGGGGGAGGAAAGCUCCGGCGCACGGGGAGGGGUUCGCGGCCCAUCAGCUAGUUGGCGGGGUAAUGGCCCACCAAGGCGACGACGGGUAGCUGGUCUGAGAGGAUGGCCAGCCACAUUGGGACUGAGAGACGGCCCAGACUCCUACGGGAGGCAGCAGUGGGGAAUCUUGCGCAAUGGUCUAACGACUGACGCAGCGACGCCGCGUGUGGGAGGACGCCUUUCGGGGUGUAAACCACUGUUGCCCGGGACGAACAGCCCUUUUCGAGGGGUCUGACGGUACCGGGUGAGGAAGCACCGGCUAACUCCGUGCCAGCAGCCGCGGUAAUACGGAGGGUGCGAGCGUUGUCCGGAAUCAUUGGGCGUAAAGGGCGCGUAGGUGGCGCAGCAAGCGUGCGGUGAAAGCUCGGGGCUCAACCCCGAGUCGGCCGUGCGAACUGCUGGGCUCGAGCACUGUAGAGGCAGGCGGAAUUCCGGGUGUAGCGGUGGAUUGCUAAAGAUCCCGGAAUUA